This is a long non-coding RNA of Mustela lutreola (European mink), 1569 nucleotides long. RefSeq lists it as uncharacterized. The record is from RefSeq and is a predicted model, not a curated record. The transcript is spliced from 3 exons. NCBI's taxonomy places the organism in Eukaryota, Metazoa, Chordata, Mammalia, Carnivora, Mustelidae.
UUUUUUUUAACACCAUUGCAUAACUAGUUUCAAGGGAAACUUUAGUUGAAAAAUGCCACUGGUUUUCUCCAAAGAAUUCAUUAUGUUUCCUGGUUCCAUGUACUCCUGGUCUUUCUUGGUUUAAAAAAAAAAAAAAAAAAAGUUUCCAUCAUCAUCAGUUCCCCAAACUUUAGAGGAUACGACUGUUUAAGCGAAGACGGGUUUCUUUUGAUGCAUUAGGACGGCCCCUUUCUCCGUGAAGUGUAGAAGCACGCACUUGGUUGUGGACGUGGGAGGCCUGAGGUGUUUUCCGUUUCAUUUAAAAUGUGCUUUAGUGAUGCAAUGAGCCACCAAGAUCUCGUCCUGUCCCCCCACCCCACAGUCAUUUGGGAAUUGCCAACAGACCUUUUCAACACCUGACAUUCCUAGGGGCUUAUGUAAGCAGGCAUCCACCCUUCCUUUCCUGGGAGCAUAUAUUAAAAAAAAAAAAAAAAAAAAAAACAGACCAGCAGUACCAAUCUCUGCUAACAUCUGAAAAAAAGAUUUUUUUUUUUUUUAAAGCAUUCAGUGUUUAGAGGACACCUGGAAUGCCCCUGUGGGGAGAGCUCUGGGCUCCAUGUGCCAAUAAUCUUUUCCCAGACUCCCUCGGAGUUCCCGCCCCAAAGACGUCUCCUGAAGCUCUCCUUGCCCUUGAUGACGGCAAGCUUCUCUCUGGCUUCAGGUGCUGUAUCCGUGGCUCCCGGCGUAUUCACAGGCGGGUUUUGCCGUCUCUGUACUUAGAUUUCUGGGUGCAGGUAGAUUUUGAACCCCUGUUUUGCUGUUAGCACCAGAAAUUUGGGCUUCUCCGUUAAAAUCUGCCAGCAGGUUAGGGGUCGUCAUUACUCCCGGAGAAAGAAAGCAUCGCUGUCCCCGCUUAGCCGGGAGGUCGUCGUUCUUCGGGUCUAUGGUCAGUGCUUCCUGGAUUCGGAAGACCCUGUGCAUUGGGUUUUCGAGAGAAACUGUGUCUUGGGAUCCAGAUCCCAAAUCGGCCCCCUUGGCUUCCAAAGGGGACGGGACCCUUCCAUCCGACCUUGAAGACGCCAUCUUGUCCUUGGCCCAUCGUAGCGUUUCCGCUGGGGGAGUGUAGAGGGGAUGUUAUGGAACCCGACCGCUCGUUCAUUAGAAGGUUGGGCUUACGGCUGUUAGAGUCUUGGUUUGUCCAUGUAUCCAGUGUGGCUACCGUUGGGGCUUCCCCUUCCAGCUGGCCACGGAGAACCGGAGCCUUCCCCGUACACCGCGAGACGCCUCUUAGGCUCAAAACUUCGAGAAAAAAAAUUUCUCUCGAAACUUCACUGAGAGAAAUCACGCUGUGGAAAGAUCCUGUAGAGAUACGCAGUCCUUUUCCUCUAGAUUGGCAUUUUUCUGAAGCGUUGCCUGGGAGAAUUUGCCGUAAGACGCCAAUAGGUGUCCCAAAGAUGGAGGAUUUUGUUAAGAAUCUUGACCGGCCCAGUCGGUGGACUGUUCGAGUCUUGAGCUCACAGUUUUAAGUUUAAGCCCCACGUUGGGUGUAGAGAGUACUUAAAAAUAAAAUCUGUAGAAUUACUGAGUUAA